Molecule: long non-coding RNA, 5217 nt
Filed under: Sus scrofa (pig)
Lineage: Eukaryota; Metazoa; Chordata; Mammalia; Artiodactyla; Suidae
Description: lncRNA (ENSSSCG00040037899.1)
Source: RNAcentral
UCCAUAUGGAGAUAACAGUCACUGAGACUUUAAGUUACUUUUUUAAAAAUUUAAUGUACUUUUUGAAAAUGUCUGAAAAUUCUAAAUGAGAUUAUAAAUCUCUGUUUCUAUAAUAGUUUAGGUGAAGUCCAAAUGGAGGUAUGUGGAUGAGCUCAUAUGCUCAUCUUUGGGUAAAUAUUCAACUGUAUGGAUGAAUGGAAAAAUCCAUUUGACAAUGUAUCAGUUUUUAAUAGUUGAAUCACUUAGCCAAUCAAUAGUCCCUAAAUACUAUAAAGAUCUGGUUCCUAAAACUUAAUGAAUUAUUGAAGAUUUACUUAAAGGGAAAUUUUUUUUUAAUCCCAUCUAAAAGUAAAAUCAAUUAUAAGCUUUUAAAAUAUCAGUUUUUUUUUUUUUUUCUUUUUAUGGCUGCACCUAUGGUAGACAGAAGUUCUUGGGCUAGUGGUUGAUUCUGAGCUGCAGCUGCUAGCCUGCACCACAGCCACAGCAACACAGGAUCCUAGCAGGAUCUUCGACCUACACCACAACUUGCUUGCUGGAAUGUCAGAUCCUUAACCAACCGAGCCAGGCCAGGGAUCAAACCUGCAUCCUCAUGGAUUCUAUGUUGGGUUCUUAACCUGCUGAACCACAACAGGAACAUGAAAAUACCACUUUUUGAAUAUGUUUUUGGAGUUGUGGGUGUGAGAAAUUGCCAGAGGCCAGCUCCGGCAGCCAGGGAGCGUAGGCUUUUUCCGGAAGAAGAUGGACGGACGUCGGCUUUUGCAUCAGAGACAGCCUCUUUGUCCCUCCUUUCAGGGUGCUGGACUACUCAAACUUUAUUGGCAACAGUGGUUGAUUAUAUAGACAAUUUUUCACUAUAGAUUACAUUACAGUGUUAAAAGUACGUUGGUUAACUAUUACAUGGUAUAGCAGCUAUGCAUCCAGUUUUAAGAUCUCUAACUUAACUAAGCUUAGUGAGUACUUUGAAGAGGCCAUAAAACACAAGAAUUUGGCAUUUACAAACUUUGUUUGUAGACUGGUGCUUAUCUUCAAAGUGUUAUGGCAGAGAGACAGUGUAGGUAAAUAUAAACCAACUUAAUUAAACUAGCUAUCACUAAAAAGCUUUUAAAAUCAAAGACAAAACUCACAGCUAGGUUUUUUGGAUAAGAUAUGGCUAACUUCUAUGGACCUCAUUAAAAUCCUAACUCUAAAGUUUACUAUAUAACUAGUUAAUAGAUAAACACUAUGUUUCAACUAAGUUGGAUUUAAAUAAGGGAAAGUCUUUCAGGAUGAAAUAUUUAUUAUACUAUUGUUGUAAUUUUGUUAAGUCACAAAUCACCACAGGACAAUAAGAAUGGGAAAUAAGAAUAAUAAGUAAAUAAUCAGGAAAGACUGAGAAAAACUGAAUAACAAAUAAAACAACAGGAAAGACUAGGUCAACCGAGAAACAAUCCAUGUUCUCCAGUGCAAACAUGGAAAUUGCUUUCCCAGGAAAGCCCCAAUUCUUCCCCAUCAACAUCAUAGUGAGAGCUGUGUAACCUGAGGCCUGCCCUCGGCUUGUACCGUGCAGGCAGGCUUUCAUCCUGACCAGAGGCCCACCUUCGGCAUGCACCAUUCAGGUGAGCUUUUUUCCUGACCAAAAGCUCACCUUCGGCAUGUACCAUUCAGGUGGGCUCCCUCUCUUGGUUAAGAACCUGCCUUCAGGUUUUUCUGCCAUCAGGCAAGGUCCUUUCUUUGAGUCCCUGCAUUUUCUCGGCUCCCCGCAAGAAAUAAUGAAAAAAAGAAAGAAAAGCUAGUCCUAUUCAUUUUGAAAUUGGCACAGCUGCAGAGAUCACGGAGUUCUACUCCCUAAUUUAAAGGACCUAGAUGUGUAAAUGUUUUAACCAAAGUGUACCUCCAGUUGCUGUAGAAUUUUAUACAUUUGCAGAUUCUCUGAUCCCUUAGUCAGUGUACCUUGGAUAGAAAAAAGUGUAUAGAUGAGUUAACUUGAUGAUUAACUUACUCUGAAAAACACAAAGUAAAAAUAAAACACUAACAGCCACAGAUUCCAUGGACUUUGGCAGCAUUCCAGGUCAUUUGCAUCAGAUCUUCAUAUGUUAAAUAGAUUAUAAUAAAAAAGUCAGGUUGGUUUAUUGAACUUCAUUUCACAAGUGAGCAAUAGGUAACCUGUUAAGUUGUAGUCUUACCAUGUGUUUGUGGACAUGAAAAAAAAUCAAACCAAUAUGUUGGUUAACUUUAUGGGAAUAAAUAAAAUUAGCCUGUGAUUAAAGUGUCCUACAGUUAUGGUUAUAUGCAUAUUAAUGCGUGUAUGUUAGAUUGGUCAUGCUUAGAAUAUCCUCAUUCCUGGCAUGAGGCUAAUAUCUGUACAUACCUGAUAUCAGCUAAUGCACUGUAAGGACCUGUAGCUUGGAUUCUGAUGUGUGUGUGUGUGUGUGUGUGUGAAUAUGAUAACAUCAUGACAGAAUUAAAAGGUAGAAUGUUUCUCCAAAUGGACUUUUAUGUAAGGAGACAAUAAAAAUCUGAAGUGUUUAGUUUUAUUUAUUUUUUUCUUUCAAAACUUUGUUAGGAAAAAAUAGGUUUAAACUAAGGCACAUUUUAUUGCAUUUUAAACCUAAUAUUUCUUUAUAAAAAUAUAUACAUUUAACGUUUUCAAACAUACAAAAAAUGUAUGGAUCCUCUUUGAUGGCAUUGCUUCUUUCUACUGGGUGUGAUGGACAUCACAGAUAGUACAGUGAUUAAACACAGGUUUUUGGUAUCAUAUGAUAUCACUUAUAUUUGGAACCUAAAAUAUGGCACAAAUGAACCUAUCUACAAAACAGAAACAGAUUCAAAGACAUGGAGAAUAGACUUGAGAUUGCCAAGGGAGAGAGAGGAGGGAGCGGGAUGGACUGGGAGUUUGGGAUUAGUAGAUACAAACUAUUACAUUUAGAAUGGAUAAGCAAUGAGGUCCCAUGCUUUAGCACAGGGAAUUAUAUCCAGUCUCCUAGGAUACACAUGUAUAACUGAGUCAGUUGGCUGAACAGAAAAAAAUUGGCACAACAUUGUAAACCAACUAUGCGUUAAUUAAAACAACAACAAAACCACAGGUAUUUGCGUAAACAUUUCCUAGGAUCCCAGUCCUUUAUUUGCCUUUUAGUGACUUCUUAAAACAUUAGUUGGUUUAUUUCAAUCAGUGGCUCUGUUUCCUCAUCUAUGAAAAGCGUAUAAUGACAUUUAUUGUGAGGAUUAAACAAGGUAACUCACAAAAAUGUUAGUGUACUUCCCAGGACACUGGAAGCAUUAAAUAAGUGUUAACUUUAUUAUUGUUCUGUUGUUAUAUUAUCAGUUGUUACAGGUACCAACAUAAUUUGAAUCAGUGCUCUCAAGCAAAGAAUUAGAGACAUUAGAGAAGCCUACAUAGGAUUGUAGCAGAGUGCCUCCACCCCUGCUCCAGAAUAGACAUUGUUCAAGAUAAGUUGCAUUUGUUAUCAGUUGAUCCUGAUUAGUUAUGGAUUUAUAGCACCAAGGGUCUGCCAUAGAUUUAGUGGUUGCUGGCUUGCAGAUUUCACCAGCUAUUUUGGAUACUGGAAUAAGAAAAUGGGAGUGCUUGCCAGACAGUACUUCCUAAUAAUGAAUUAUAUGUAACUCAUGCAUGAACAUUGAUCCAAAAGAUCUGGAGGAGAGAAUAGAGGAGAAACUAUAGUUUUGUAUCUUGGGUUUGUAACAUCAUAAAAUGAGGUCCUGCUGUAUAGCACUGGGAACUAUAUCUAGUCAUGUAUGAUGGAGCAUGAUAAUGUGAGAAAAAAGAAUGUAUACAUGUAUGUGUAACUGGGUCACCGUGCUGUACAGUAGAAAAUUGACAGACACUGUAAACCAGCUAUAAUGGAAAAAAUAAAAAUCAUUAUAAAAUUUAAAAAAAAGAAUGAAAUAUUGUAGUGAGAUUGUAUGGGAAAUUAAGUCAGGUUGGAAAGUGAAACAUUUGACACACUAAAGAAAUUGUAAAGUAAUUCUUAAAGGCAUCUUUAUGAUGUAUAUAUAAUUUGGACAGAUCUAAAAUAAGUAUGUAAUUAGCUAAUAUUUAGAUAGUAAAGUAAAGGUUACUUUCACAGAAAAAUAUAGAACAGUCAACCUAAGUUAUGGGAAAUUAAACUAGUGUACAUUAGUUAAUUUGCCAUAUAGAACAUUAUAAUGCACACCUUAAUUCAAAUUACUGCUCUGCUGUAUUAUCUAUUAAUUUUUGUCACUAUGUAUUUAAAUAUAAAUUAGAAACGUCACGGUUUCAUUGCUACUUUAAAUAUAUAUAUAUAUGCUUGUAUAUUGUGAAUGCUUGCUGCCAUCCCUGAGUUUAUAUUUUAAGCAUCUUAUCAUACUAAGUUUGAAUUCCUUUAUUUAAAAACUUUUUGGUAAACGCCCCUAGUAAAGAAGUACUGUUGUUAAAGAGCAAUUUUUUUUAAUGGCCACGCACGUGACAUAUGGAAGUUCCAGGGCCAGGGAUUGAAUCCGAGCCGCAGAUGUGAUUUAAGCUUUAGCUGGAGCGAUACUGGCGACUUUAACCCACCAGGCUGGGGAUUAAACGUGCACCUCUGCAGUGACACAAGCCACUGCAGUUGGAUUCUUAACACACUGCACCACAGUAAGAACUCCUUUUUUUUUUAAUUAAAAAAAUUUAUAAAGUGCAAUUUUGAAGCCCAAGAUUAUGACCUUGAAAGGCACAUAUGAGAAAAAAAAAUGUACUCCUUCUUGAAGAAAGUAUUUUGACUAUGGAUAUUUUGUUUGAUUCUACAAAGAUUAAUUUUGGUGCUUUCAACUUAUAGAUACUACUUUUCACAUGACAAAGAGCUGUAUAAUAACUUCACUUUCAUGUUUGUGGAGAUGGAUGGGCCAGUUUAUACACACAUGUAAGCAAAUAAACAAAGUAUUAUCACUGAUUAAAAUUCCCUUGAUUGUAGAUAGCAAUCAGAUUGUACUACUAUUUAUAUCUCCCAGCAACUAGGCUAUUUGUUGACUGAUGUUCACCUGAAGAUUAUGAUCUGCCCAUCAUUUCAAAUAACAUUUAUUGUUAUAUCCAAAGGGUAGUUAAUAGACAUUUUUUUACUGGGAGAAAAAUCUGGUGAUUCCAAUUAUAUUGUAUUUUAGGAAUUUACUAUUUAUAAAAUAUUUUCUGUUUAUGUAUAUAUAUGUAUAUACAUAUAUAUAUAUAUAUAUAGUUUAUGUUGGGGCAAUAUCAGAUGGUAUGUUUAGACAUAGUCCCUGAGCUUGUUU